GGCGUCAGGACGGACGCUGGCGGCGUGCCUAAUACAUGCAAGUCGAGCGAAGUUUUUCUGGUGCUUGCACUAGAAAACUUAGCGGCGAACGGGUGAGUAACACGUAAGAACCUGCCUCAUAGACUGGGACAACUAUUGGAAACGAUAGCUAAUACCGGAUAACAGCAUUAACUGCAUGGUUGAUGUUUAAAAGUUGGUUUUGCUAACACUAUGAGAUGGCUUUGCGGUGCAUUAGCUAGUUGGUGGGGUAAAGGCCUACCAAGGCGACGAUGCAUAGCCGACCUGAGAGGGUGAUCGGCCACACUGGGACUGAGACACGGCCCAGACUCCUACGGGAGGCAACAGUAGGGAAUCUUCCGCAAUGGGCGAAAGCCUGACGGAGCAACGCCGCGUGAGUGAAGAAGGAUUUCGGUUCGUAAAGCUCUGUUGUUAGGGAAGAAUGAUUGUGUAGUAACUAUACACAGUAGAGACGGUACCUAACCAGAAAGCCACGGCUAACUACGUG
Molecule: ribosomal RNA, 505 nt
Filed under: uncultured Gemella sp.
Lineage: Bacteria; Bacillati; Bacillota; Bacilli; Caryophanales; Gemellaceae
Description: bacterial SSU rRNA
Rfam family: Bacterial small subunit ribosomal RNA
Source: RNAcentral